GGUGACUGAACAUGUGCUGCUAUCAGUAUUUUUGUGGGCUCUUUAUCGAGGCCAGCACAAAGCAUGAAGCUUAUAGUUGCGGAAGCAGAGGCCCAGAGAGGACUAGUAACGAAAGACCGUGUCUGCAGGAACUGUCAAGUUGGGACUCUAAGCUUUUGGAAUUAGCUCCGGCUACAGGAGCUGCUGAGAGCCUCUCUGCUUACCUGUCCCACUCGGCCAAUACCAUCUGGGUUCUCUCCAGCCAGGCCUUCACAGGGGAGAUGUUGGUCUGGGGCUCAGUCUGGGAAACAGAUACUUCUGCUCACUGUUAAGGAAGUCGUCAACCGGGCUGAAGAGAUGGCUCAGGGAUUAAGAGCACUGACUGCUCUUCCAAAGGUCCUGAGUUCAGUUUCCAGCAACCACACAGUGGCUCACAACCAUCUGUAAUGGGAUCCGAUGCCCUCUUCUGGUGUGGCUGAAGACAGCUACAGUGUACUUAUAUACAAUAAAUGAAUAUUAAAAAAGAAAAAA
Molecule: long non-coding RNA, 510 nt
Filed under: Rattus norvegicus (Norway rat)
Lineage: Eukaryota; Metazoa; Chordata; Mammalia; Rodentia; Muridae
Description: long non-coding RNA NONRATT005908
Source: RNAcentral